This 255-nucleotide ribosomal RNA is filed under the name uncultured bacterium. RNAcentral describes it as "partial 16S ribosomal RNA". It matches the Rfam family "Bacterial small subunit ribosomal RNA", at positions 524 to 777 of the family's 1533-position model. The record is from RNAcentral.
UACGGAGGGGGCUAGCGUUGUUCGGAAUUACUGGGCGUAAAGCGCACGUAGGCGGACCAUCAAGUUGGGGGUGAAAUCCCGGGGCUCAACCCCGGAACUGCCUCCAAAACUGCUGGUCUGGAGGUCGAGAGAGGUGAGUGGAAUUCCGAGUGUAGAGGUGAAAUUCGUAGAUAUUCGGAGGAACACCAGUGGCGAAGGCGGCUCACUGGCGUCGAUACUGACGCUGAGGUGCGAAAGCGUGGGGAGCAAACAGGA